GUGAAACCGCGAAUGGCUCAUUAUAACAGCUAUAAUUUACUUGAUCUUGACACAAUCCUACUUGGAUAACUGUGGUAAUUCUAGAGCUAAUACAUGCAUUAAAGCUCUGACCUCACGGGAAGAGUGCAUUUAUUAGAACAAAACCAAGCGGCUUCGGCUGUUUCUGGUUGACUCAUAGUAACUGAGCUGAUCGCAUGGUCUUGCACCGGCGACGUGUCUUUCAAGUAUCUGCCGUAUCAACUUUCGAUGGUAGUGUAUCUGACUACCAUGGUGAUCACGCGUAACGGAGAAUAAGGGUUCGGCUCCGGAGAGUUCGCCUGAGAAAUCGCGAACACAUCUAAGGAAGGCAGCAGGCGCGAAAAUUACCCACUCUCAGCACGAGGAGGUAGUGACGAAAAAUAACGAGACCGUUCUCUUAUGAGGCCGGUCAUCGGAAUGGGUACAAUUUAAACCCUUUAACGAGUAUCUAUGAGAGGGCAAGUCUGGUGCCAGCAGCCGCGGUAAUUCCAGCUCUCAAAGUG
RNAcentral lists this ribosomal RNA (521 nucleotides) under unidentified nematode Sourhope farm. Its description in RNAcentral is "SSU rRNA". It matches the Rfam family "Eukaryotic small subunit ribosomal RNA", at positions 81 to 599 of the family's 1831-position model. Lineage: Eukaryota; Metazoa; Nematoda. The record is from RNAcentral.